Podarcis lilfordi (Lilford's wall lizard) is the source of this 75-nucleotide non-coding RNA. NCBI's taxonomy places the organism in Eukaryota, Metazoa, Chordata, Lepidosauria, Squamata, Lacertidae. The record is from the annotation of a GenBank genome assembly.
GAUAACUCAGUUGGUCAGAGUGUGGUGCUCAUAAUACCAAGGUUUGAAGUUCAAUCCCUGCAUGGGGCAGCUACA